AAAAAAAAAAAGAAAAAAAAACUAAUAUUAUAAGAGGGAGAGUGAGAGGGAAGACUUAAAGGUGCCCUUUUCUAUUCUUGCUCUCCCAGUACUUUUGAACUCAUCAGACCUCACUUUCUCUCCUCUACCAGCUUUUAAACACUUCCCUAAGCAUCAAUUUUCAAUUGUGAGUGUUUUAUCAAAGACGGAGAAGAAUAAUCUGUGGAUUCAAUUUUACUGGGUUUCGAUGGAAUUUCUGCAAGGUGAAGCUAUGAUCCUGUUAAAUUCAAGGAGAGUGCUGGUGAAAUUACAAUUUAAAUUAUUUUAAUUUGAGCUUAUAUAA
RNAcentral lists this unclassified non-coding RNA (322 nucleotides) under Hevea brasiliensis (rubber tree). Lineage: Eukaryota; Viridiplantae; Streptophyta; Magnoliopsida; Malpighiales; Euphorbiaceae. The record is from RNAcentral.